RNAcentral lists this small nuclear RNA (102 nucleotides) under Moschus moschiferus (Siberian musk deer). Lineage: Eukaryota; Metazoa; Chordata; Mammalia; Artiodactyla; Moschidae. The record is from RNAcentral.
UCAGCAUAUACUAAAUAUACUAAAAUUGGAGCGAUACAGAGAAGAUUAGCAUGGCCCCUGUGCAAGGAUGACAUGCAAAUUCAUGAAGCGCUCCAUAUUUUU